This 255-nucleotide ribosomal RNA is filed under the name Streptococcus thermophilus MTCC 5460. RNAcentral's name for it is "partial 16S ribosomal RNA". It matches the Rfam family "Bacterial small subunit ribosomal RNA", at positions 1 to 246 of the family's 1533-position model. The record is from RNAcentral. Lineage: Bacteria; Bacillati; Bacillota; Bacilli; Lactobacillales; Streptococcaceae.
UUAAUGAGAGUUUGAUCCUGGCUCAGGACGAACGCUGGCGGCGUGCCUAAUACAUGCAAGUAGAACGCUGAAGAGAGGAGCUUGCUCUUCUUGGAUGAGUUGCGAACGGGUGAGUAACGCGUAGGUAACCUGCCUUGUAGCGGGGGAUAACUAUUGGAAACGAUAGCUAAUACCGCAUAACAAUGGAUGACACAUGUCAUUUAUUUGGAAAGGGGCAAUUGCUCCACUACAAGAUGGACCUGCGUUGUAUUAGCU